GGUGCCACUGCUGCAUAUUUUCUAGACAUGACAUAACCUGUUUCAUUUCUGUUUUAGCGUCCUUGGAGAAUACCUGCGUCAUUAAGUUCUUGUCAAAAUUACACUCCUGAUGUCGUGUGGUUUUACCUGGAAUUUAGCGUCUCGGAACUGUGCCCGAUGUGCUGUGAUGGCCACAGGACCCUUUUUGUGACAGAAUGCAAUACCAAAGAUGUUUUGUUGCCACUGUAAAUAAAAAAUCUUAAGUGUCA
Molecule: long non-coding RNA, 248 nt
Organism: Daphnia magna
Lineage: Eukaryota; Metazoa; Arthropoda; Branchiopoda; Diplostraca; Daphniidae
Exons: 2
Source: RefSeq, a predicted model, not a curated record